RNAcentral lists this ribosomal RNA (895 nucleotides) under uncultured bacterium. RNAcentral describes it as "bacterial SSU rRNA". It matches the Rfam family "Bacterial small subunit ribosomal RNA", at positions 8 to 916 of the family's 1533-position model. The record is from RNAcentral.
AGAGUUUGAUCCUGGCUCAGGACGAACGCUGGCGGCGCGCCUAACACAUGCAAGUCGAACGAGAGAUGAGGAGCUUGCUCUUCAAAUCGAGUGGCGAACGGGUGAGUAACGCGUGAGGAACCUGCCUCAAAGAGGGGGACAACAGUUGGAAACGACUGCUAAUACCGCAUAAGCCCACGGCUCGGCAUCGAGCAGAGGGAAAAGGAGUGAUCCGCUUUGAGAUGGCCUCGCGUCCGAUUAGCUAGUUGGUGAGGUAACGGCCCACCAAGGCGACGAUCGGUAGCCGGACUGAGAGGUUGAACGGCCACAUUGGGACUGAGACACGGCCCAGACUCCUACGGGAGGCAGCAGUGGGGAAUAUUGCACAAUGGGGGAAACCCUGAUGCAGCGACGCCGCGUGGAGGAAGAAGGUCUUCGGAUUGUAAACUCCUGUUGUUGAGGAAGAUAAUGACGGUACUCAACAAGGACGUGACGGCUAACUACGUGCCAGCAGCCGCGGUAAAACGUAGGUCACAAGCGUUGUCCGGAAUUACUGGGUGUAAAGGGAGCGCAGGCGGGAGAACAAGUUGGAAGUGAAAUCCAUGGGCUCAACCCAUGAACUGCUUUCAAAACUGUUUUUCUUGAGUAGUGCAGAGGUAGGCGGAAUUCCCGGUGUAGCGGUGGAAUGCGUAGAUAUCGGGAGGAACACCAGUGGCGAAGGCGGCCUACUGGGCACCAACUGACGCUGAGGCUCGAAAGUGUGGGUAGCAAACAGGAUUAGAUACCCUGGUAGUCCACACCGUAAACGAUGAUUACUAGGUGUUGGAGGAUUGACCCCUUCAGUGCCGCAGUUAACACAAUAAGUUAUCCACCUGGGGAGUACGACCGCAAGGUUGAAACUCAAAGGAAUUGACGG